UGGCCACAGCAGUGUGAUUGAUAGAAAAAAAAUUUCAUAAAAAAUAUAAUUAGACUUAAGCUGAUCGAAUCUAUUAUAUGAUUGAUAUUGAGAUUUGAUGAUUUAUCCAUAAUCUACUAUCUAGUCGGAACUCAUGAUAGAGAGACUGAAUCACAUAUUAACUACACCUAGAGGUUCAUUUUGAUUCUACUGGAUUACCACUAUAUACCGCUAGGUGUCACUGGUAG
This 227-nucleotide long non-coding RNA is filed under the name Elaeis guineensis (African oil palm). RNAcentral describes it as "long non-coding RNA (EGUI_LNC021211)". Lineage: Eukaryota; Viridiplantae; Streptophyta; Magnoliopsida; Arecales; Arecaceae. The record is from RNAcentral.